AAGCGCCAGAAGGCCCUCGGAGCUGGACCUCAGUGUCCGGGAUGAACGAUGGGGGUGGAGACACUCCUUGGAGCGUCUGCAACAGCGCUUUCCCCACUAGCAAAUCUCAUCAAGUGUUGUUGCUGCGUUGGGGGUGAGAUGAGUUGGGGAGGCCCUGCAUACAGCCUGCUGGCUGGAGGCUACUCACUCCUGGCUUAAAGUGUGUCUUUGGGGUGCUUUGAAAUGCCCCGAGGAACAGAUCCACCAAAGCUUACUUCUAUACCAUAUUUUGCAAUGGCUAAAAUCUUUGUACCUUCAGACGAGCGAAACUGACAUGGGCCACAGAUACGCCAUGCAUUAAAGGUGUUAAGUUGUGGGUGAACAUAUCAGAUGACACAGCAAUUCUUCAAACAGCUCUCGUUUAUUCACAGGCCAGAACAGAACAGAACAGAACAGAACUGAAGGGUUCAGCCAGCCUGCUUAUAUAGAGCUCCACUACAUCGCAACAGUAACCACUUUCUGUAACUAUCCAAUCACUGAACGUCACUUUCAAUCCCUUAUUUGCAUAUGUGGACCUGAGUGAAAACUAUCUACAGUAUCCCCCUGCUGGCCCAGGGUGAAAACUUCAGUACAUAACAAAAGGUACACUCCCACCCCUUCAAAGAAUCCUGGGAACAGUAGUUUGCCCCCACGGCACUACAAUUCCGAGCACCCUUAACAAACAACAGUUCCCAUGAUUCUUUGAUGUGCUUUAAACGUGUGGUGUGUAUGUAGCUGUGGGCUCUCGGGCAAGACAAGGCAUCCCUUCUGGACCC
Molecule: long non-coding RNA, 794 nt
Filed under: Podarcis lilfordi (Lilford's wall lizard)
Lineage: Eukaryota; Metazoa; Chordata; Lepidosauria; Squamata; Lacertidae
Source: RNAcentral